UUUAAAAACAACCAGAGGCAGCCAGACAAGUUACAGCAUGCCUAGGAAAUUUGACUUCAAUUGAUCCGACACGAUUUUACCCAGCAAAGUAAUUCUGAGAAGCUAGCAAAAAAACGCCUCUGCAUUUUUUUUCCAUCUCUGUUGGAAUCACGACAUAUCCCUUUGGUAACAGCAUCCUCAAAAACCUCCUGGCUCCAGCUCUGCCAGGGCAUGCUAAAGGCUUGCAUUUCUUGCUACUGUUACAUCAUUCAGUUUCAAUAAGGUGUUUUGCUACUGACUAUUACAAGAAUAUAUCAAAAAAAGACUCCCUUUAAGAAUUCGCAGCUAUUUCAAAGAUUCAUUUCGUACUUUAAUUCUUCGAAGGUUUUAGCUCAGCUACCUGAAGUAUACAGUAAGUACUGAAUAGAGUAAAACUUUUAAAUAGCACUUUUUAUUUUUACAGAGACUGAAGUUGAAUUUCCCUGUCUUUGCAUAAUUAUCCUCCUGUUACUAAUUUGACACAGUCCCCCACUGUAUUUUCUCAAAAGAAGCGCAGCAUUAAAACAAAAACAGCAAAAGAGAAUGACGAAAAGAUGUUAAAUACAACUCUGAUUACAUUAAUGACAUUUAAUUCUUGCUGUCAUAAUACAGUCUUCUAACCAAGAGGAAAGGAAAAGGUGCCAAGGUUAUAAUCGUAUAGCUGUCAAAACUGACAUCAGAUUGUCCAUCUUACUAGUUGAACACCACAAUCACUUGGUAUAUAUUCUUAAGAAUCUAUUAAAUAUCAAAAUAAUAUUUGCCUGAUUAUAAACCCCUUGAUACUUCACAGCACAUUCAGGAAAACACAAAACAUUAAUAAAUGAUUUACAGAAAAGCAAGCCAUUGGUAUACCUUCUAUUUAGCACCUCCUGGUACAGACACUGACGAUUAUUACACUUAAUAGCCUAAAUCAGUGAUGUGCAGUGAUUAUUUGCUGACUAAUAAAAUUAUAUUUCAUUUAGUCCACAGUGAAAUUUUCUAGAAUAAUACAAUGGCAGGAAGAUUAAUAAACUUUGUGAGCUCAGCCUACUGCCACACAACAUAGUAGUUUUCUUUUUCUAACCUCACCACCAGGCUUUAUUUUUGUUUAUAACCAACAUCAACAAACAAAUACCAGCAUUUGUUGCCUAAAGCCCCAGAGCAGCAGCAUGAAUUUUGCAGCAGUACAUGAAAAAUCUCCUCCUGUUUUUUUCCCUUUGGCUCCAAGUGACAUGUGAGCCCCAGCAACCUGCUGAGCUACCUUGCCAUUUAGCAAUUCCCAAACUCAGCGGUAGGCCCCUGUCUGGGAAAAUCCCCACUCUGUCUGGCACAUUAUCUCACUGGACAUUUCAAAAAACUCCCCAGUCUCCCUUGUUCGGGUCAGUUACGCUGUGACCACAAAACUCUUCACAUUUGUCUCAAACCUUUCAGAAAAGGAAGAAGGGGCAGUUCUGGCGCAGCAGGGAAGCCAGUGGACAUGUUUCAUCAGAUAAUAAUCUGGCUGGUAUUCUGAAUUCAAAGGCACAGCUUUUGAAAAUACCUAUGAGCUAGAAGUUGCUGCAGCAAGGUCUCCUGACACACAAAAACCACGACUUUCCUCACUUGUUCCUUAAAUAUCUAUCUGCAAACGUGCCAAGCUUUCCUUUAGCAGCUUUCCUCUCCACAGCACAGGAAUGCGGGAUACAGAAAGGAACCCCACACUGUGGGAAACUGCGGUCCAAGAGAAAGCACUCCAGGUGCCGUGUGUCACGCAUUAACAGGUGUCUCCAAGAAGGACUGGCGAUAAGACCCUAAGACUGUCAAAAGCAAACUUAGCCAACAGAGCGAGCCCAUCGCUCCUGACGAACCGGUCCCACAGCGCCGUGGGGCUCCUGACGUUAUCUCGCUCCUUCCUCUAUACGCCUGGUUUCCAGGGAAGGCUGCGAGCUCCGCGGGGGAGGAGAGUGCCCGCUAGCUCUCCCAGGCAGGAUCUGCAGGGAAACUUUGCCGUGCGCGGUUCGCUGCCGGAGAAGCAGCGGGAGGAGACGGCCGGGGCGCCCCGGGCCCCCGCUCCUCCGGCUCCCGGCGACGCCGGAGCCUCCUCCCUUCUUUCCCGAAGCCCUCCGCCCUUCGGGAGCGUCUCGUGGCUGGAAAGGAGGCUCCGGGGACCUCGCCAAGGGGCUGGGGAGGGAACGGCACCGGCUCCCGCCGAUCCCGGUGCGGAUUUAUUAAAGGAGUAAAGUCACGAAUUCUCAUUAAAAUAAAAACAAAAAUGAAGAGCUGUUUCCGGAGAAGCCAGGGGAGGCAAAGGUACAAGUGAGUCACCCCUCAGCUGUGCUCUUGCAAGCAUUUAAUGUUGGCCUGGAAGGACAUUUGCUUUUGAAUUUUGGAAGUCAAGAGUGUAUUUCUGCUUCAUUUGGGAAGAAGAAACUGUUGCUGUAGCAAUACUUCCUUUGCCAGAGAAGUCUUGAAGUGGAGGAGAACUUUCCAGAAGCAGCCGGAGGCUAAAGCAGAUGAAUGUCUCCUUUUAGCUUGUUUUGAAGUGGUCCCUACUUGGAUAUUGCAGACUGAAAAGGUUUCUCUAGUGGUUCCUGCCUCUCAGAAAUACACAAAUUAUUUCUCCUAAGGUAGAUAUACCCAUCUGCCAGGCAACGUGCUUGCCUCAAGCAGGAAGUCCAGCUCUGACAGUUUCCACUCCUCUCUGUGGUGAGGUUUUCCUGUGAUUUGCCCCUGCAUCAAGUAUACCCUUGAACACUUCAACCCCCAUAUGAACAUCCAGAUGUGAUUCUUUGUGGCUUCCAUGUACAUCAUGGAGCCUGGCUGUACGCCUAAUGAGAGAAACGGUAAGCAAGAGUCCACUGAAGGGUAGCAUUUACUUGAUGAAUUUUCAUGUCAGAAAUCCACCCCAGCUAAAUGUUUAUCAUGAGACUUUGAUCUCAAAGAUUUAGCUCUCCCUGUGGAGCAAAAGCAGAUGCUUGGUAAGCUGUUGCUGUAGUCCUGACAACCCUUUCAAAUGUCUAGACAGUGGAAAGAGAUCAUUACAUCCUCUUUUAAAGUCAACAGCAACAAUUCAACGCACUUAACAUGUUUACCUCAGGAUGACCUUAUUUACACUGCUUUGCUUUGUAGUACCGCAAAUGUCUAAUACUAUUGAAAGAUGGAGGAUAAUAAGGUGGUUCCAGAUAAAAACCCACUUUUAUUUAGAAAAAUAAAUAUGACAGAUGUGCUAGAUCACAUAUGGUCCCUAUGUAGAUUUUAGCUUGGACCUAGAGAUUAAGGAAAUUGAUAGUAUGCCUUUACAGCUAGCAUUUCUCAUUUAAGAAUCAUGAAAACAUUAACCUUUGCAGAAAGGGUAUUUAGUUAGUGCUAGCUGAAGUUCCCAUUAAAUCGUAGAGAUAAGCCCAGGAAAUGUCCAACAUUGCUGCAUUUACUUUGUGCGAUGUAUUGAACAGGGGAAAAGUAAGUUAUUGUAGUCAUAACUGUUGAAGAGCUAUCUGAGUGUAGUCUUACAAGAUGAUAGACUUAAGAAAAGGGAUCUGAAAAGAGAAGGAGAUUCCGACUUAAGCAGCCUCCUUAAAAUAAAAAUAAAGUCUGAAGGUUCUCCAAGAUAAACCAGCCAUGAAAACAAGAAAUGCUAACUUACCAGGUGUGCCUCAUGUCGGCCAAGGCACUGGAAGUGGUAUGGAAGAAGUUUACUAGUAUCGUGAUUCAGGACUACGUGAACUGUUUUCCAGUUCUGUAAAACCUUUUCUAUUAGUAAAUAAAGCUUCUGAUUUUCUAGUUAAUAUGUUGUGGUGUUUAAAAUCAGCUCAGGAGCUUCUGACAAAUC
This is a long non-coding RNA of Cuculus canorus (common cuckoo), 3805 nucleotides long. RefSeq lists it as uncharacterized. Lineage: Eukaryota; Metazoa; Chordata; Aves; Cuculiformes; Cuculidae. The transcript has 3 exons. The record is from RefSeq and is a predicted model, not a curated record.